RNAcentral lists this ribosomal RNA (244 nucleotides) under uncultured bacterium. RNAcentral describes it as "partial 16S ribosomal RNA". It matches the Rfam family "Bacterial small subunit ribosomal RNA", at positions 57 to 305 of the family's 1533-position model. The record is from RNAcentral.
GCAAGUCGAGCGGAAACGAUGGUAGCUUGCUACUAGGCGUCGAGCGGCGGACGGGUGAGUAACGCGUAGGAACUUACCCAGUAGUUGGGGAUAGCCCGGAGAAAUCCGGAUUAAUACCGAAUAAUCUCUACGGAGGAAAGUGGGCUUCGGCUCACGCUACUGGAUGGGCCUGCGUUGGAUUAGCUAGUUGGUUGGGUAAAGGCUGACCAAGGCGAUGACGGGUAGCUGGUCUGAGAGGACGACC